This 329-nucleotide unclassified non-coding RNA is filed under the name soil metagenome. RNAcentral describes it as "partial contains 5.8S ribosomal RNA, internal transcribed spacer 2, and large subunit ribosomal RNA". The stretch from base 1 to 119 matches the Rfam family "5.8S ribosomal RNA", at positions 35 to 154 of the family's 154-position model. The record is from RNAcentral.
GAUGAAAACGUAGCGAAAUGCGAUAAGUAAUGUGAAUUGCAGAAUUCAGUGAAUCAUCGAAUCUUUGAACGCACAUUGCGCCCCCUGGUAUUCCGGGGGGCAUGCCUGUUCGAGCGUCAUUUCACCACUCAAGCCUCGCUUGGUAUUGGGCAACGCGGUCCGCCGCGUGCCUCAAAUCGACCGGCUGGGUCUUCUGUCCCCUAAGCGUUGUGGAAACUAUUCGCUAAAGGGUGCUCGGGAGGCUACGCCGUAAAACAAACCCAUUUCUAAGGUUGACCUCGGAUCAGGUAGGGAUACCCGCUGAACUUAAGCAUAUCAAUAAGGGAGGA